This 262-nucleotide unclassified non-coding RNA is filed under the name uncultured Entrophospora. RNAcentral's name for it is "uncultured Claroideoglomus sequence contains 18S rRNA gene". It matches the Rfam family "Eukaryotic small subunit ribosomal RNA", at positions 569 to 840 of the family's 1831-position model. Lineage: Eukaryota; Fungi; Glomeromycota; Glomeromycetes; Entrophosporales; Entrophosporaceae. The record is from RNAcentral.
AGCAGCCGCGGUAAUUCCAGCUCCAAUAGCGUAUAUUAAAGUUGUUGCAGUUAAAAGCUCGUAGUUGAAUUUCGAGAUCAAAUUGUUGGUCGUGCCUUGGUACGCACUGGCAUUAUUGGUUUCUCCCUUCUGACGAACCAUGAUGUCAUUAAUUUGGUGUCUUGGGGAAUCAGGACUGUUACUUUGAAAAAUUGAGUGUUUAAAGCAGGCUCACGCUUGAAUACAUCAGCAUGGAAUAAUGAAAUAGGACGUUUGAUUCUAU